Long non-coding RNA from Musa acuminata subsp. malaccensis (wild Malaysian banana), 713 nucleotides. RefSeq lists it as uncharacterized. The record is from RefSeq and is a predicted model, not a curated record. Lineage: Eukaryota; Viridiplantae; Streptophyta; Magnoliopsida; Zingiberales; Musaceae.
CAGACACUCUCGUCGUAACUUCCCCUCUGCAUCUGAGGGGACGAUCGGGUAACGGAAUGGCUUCUCCGACAAAAUGGAAGCCGGAGCGACGCUCCUUCCUCGGCGGCCUCCGCUCGCCCUCGAACCCUUCAAUUUAUCUUUCAUUGAUUUCUGGAAGACCAUAAACAUGGUUUUCAUGGAGGUAAAGAUGCCAUGGAAUUCGAUAAUUUCACCUCAACUGCUCGAUGCAAAAGGAACUAUACUCCAUAAAGCUAUCAUCCUACGUCAUAUGGAUGACAUUGCAAUUAGAAAGGCAUCCGAGGAGCAGUUACUAGCUUGAACUCGAUAGGCGAAGGAAAGGUUCGAGACUUGCCAGGAGAUGUUCUCUUCCCUACCAGGAUCUGUGGCAUGGAUUAUAGCAUCAAGGAUUGGUUGAUCUCAAUCCUUGCACCUUGGGGUAUCAUGUAUGCUGCUUGAUGGUUUUGUCGUGGAUAGUUGACUAGCCCGUGACUGGAUUCCAGUACUUGGCAACUAAUGUGUUUCAGAUCAGGGUUGAUUGAUGCCUUCGUUCCUUGAUUGUUUUCUGUUAUUAUUUUGUGAUCUACUGUUGGUUCAAAAGAGUAAUACCGUAUCUCACUGUUAUUAUUAUGGACUCAAAACGGUUGUUGUAUCCCAAGAAGUUUGUCGUGUUCAUUUAUAGUUUGAAAUGGUGUGGCUGAACUUUUUUCGUUAUA